UGCAAGUCGAACGCGUUGGYCCAAUUGAUUGAUGGUGCUUGCACCUGAUUGAUUUUGGUCGCCAACGAGUGGCGGACGGGUGAGUAACACGUAGGUAACCUGCCCAGAAGCGGGGGACAACAUUUGGAAACAGAUGCUAAUACCGCAUAAYARCGUUGUUCGCAUGAACAACGCUUAAAAGAUGGCUUCUCGCUAUCACUUCUGGAUGGACCUGCGGUGCAUUAGCUUGUUGGUGGGGUAACGGCCUACCAAGGCGAUGAUGCAUAGCCGAGUUGAGAGACUGAUCGGCCACAAUGGGACUGAGACACGGCCCAUACUCCUACGGGAGGCAGCAGUAGGGAAUCUUCCACAAUGGGCGCAAGCCUGAUGGAGCAACACCGCGUGAGUGAAGAAGGGUUUCGGCUCGUAAAGCUCUGUUGUUAAAGAAGAACACGUAUGAGAGUAACUGUUCAUACGUUGACGGUAUUUAACCAGAAAGUCACGGCUAACUACGUGCCAGCAGCCGCGGUAAUACGUAGGUGGCAAGCGUUAUCCGGAUUUAUUGGGCGUAAAGAGAGUGCAGGCGGUUUUCUAAGUCUGAUGUGAAAGCCUUCGGCUUAACCGGAGAAGUGCAUCGGAAACUGGAUAACUUGAGUGCAGAAGAGGGUAGUGGAACUCCAUGUGUAGCGGUGGAAUGCGUAGAUAUAUGGAAGAACACCAGUGGCGAAGGCGGCUACCUGGUCUGCAACUGACGCUGAGACUCGAAAGCAUGGGUAGCGAACAGGAUUAGAUACCCUGGUAGUCCAUGCCGUAAACGAUGAGUGCUAGGUGUUGGAGGGUUUCCGCCCUUCAGUGCCGGAGCUAACGCAUUAAGCACUCCGCCUGGGGAGUACGACCGCAAGGUUGAAACUCAAAGGAAUUGACGGGGGCCCGCACAAGCGGUGGAGCAUGUGGUUUAAUUCGAAGCUACGCGAAGAACCUUACCAGGUCUUGACAUCUUGCGCCAACCCUAGAGAUAGGGCGUUUCCUUCGGGAACGCAAUGACAGGUGGUGCAUGGUCGUCGUCAGCUCGUGUCGUGAGAUGUUGGGUUAAGUCCCGCAACGAGCGCAACCCUUGUUACUAGUUGCCAGCAUUAAGUUGGGCACUCUAGUGAGACUGCCGGUGACAAACCGGAGGAAGGUGGGGACGACGUCAGAUCAUCAUGCCCCUUAUGACCUGGGCUACACACGUGCUACAAUGGACGGUACAACGAGUCGCGAACUCGCGAGGGCAAGCAAAUCUCUUAAAACCGUUCUCAGUUCGGACUGCAGGCUGCAACUCGCCUGCACGAAGUCGGAAUCGCUAGUAAUCGCGGAUCAGCAUGCCGCGGUGAAUACGUUCCCGGGCCUUGUACACACCGCCCGUCACACCAUGAGAGUUUGUAACACCCAAAGUCGGUGGGGUAACCUUUUAGGAGCCAGCCGC
Molecule: ribosomal RNA, 1444 nt
Filed under: Limosilactobacillus fermentum
Lineage: Bacteria; Bacillati; Bacillota; Bacilli; Lactobacillales; Lactobacillaceae
Description: bacterial SSU rRNA
Source: RNAcentral